ACAGAUCGUUCAGAGUUUGAUCCUGGCUCAGGAUGAACGCUAGCUACAGGCUUAACACAUGCAAGUCGAGGGGCAGCAUGAGGAUUGCUUGCAAUCUUUGAUGGCGACCGGCGCACGGGUGCGUAACGCGUAUCGAACCUGCCCUGUACACGGGGAUAGCCUUGCGAAAGCAAGAUUAAUACCCGAUGUUUUGGCGAUGCCGCAUGACAUUGUCAACAAAGAUUUAUCGGUACAGGAUGGCGAUGCGUCCCAUUAGCUAGUUGGCGGGGUAACGGCCCACCAAGGCAUCGAUGGGUAGGGGUUCUGAGAGGAAGGUCCCCCACACUGGAACUGAGACACGGUCCAG
This 346-nucleotide ribosomal RNA is filed under the name uncultured bacterium. RNAcentral's name for it is "bacterial SSU rRNA". It matches the Rfam family "Bacterial small subunit ribosomal RNA", at positions 1 to 334 of the family's 1533-position model. The record is from RNAcentral.